Molecule: ribosomal RNA, 253 nt
Filed under: uncultured bacterium
Lineage: Bacteria
Description: partial 16S ribosomal RNA
Rfam family: Bacterial small subunit ribosomal RNA
Source: RNAcentral
UACGUAGGGGGCAAGCGUUGUCCGGAUUUAUUGGGCGUAAAGAGCGUGUAGGCGGCCAGGUAGGUCGGUUGUGAAAACUCGAGGCUCAACCUCGAGACGUCGGUUGAAACCACCUGGCUAGAGUCCGGAAGAGGAGAGUGGAAUUCCCGGUGUAGCGGUGAAAUGCGCAGAUAUCGGGAAGAACACCCGUGGCGAAGGCGGCUCUCUGGGACGGUACUGACGCUGAGACGCGAAAGCGUGGGGAGCGAACAGG